This 441-nucleotide ribosomal RNA is filed under the name uncultured bacterium. Its description in RNAcentral is "partial 16S ribosomal RNA". It matches the Rfam family "Bacterial small subunit ribosomal RNA", at positions 338 to 795 of the family's 1533-position model. The record is from RNAcentral.
CCUACGGGUGGCAGCAGUGGGGAAUAUUGCACAAUGGGCGAAAGCCUGAUGCAGCAACGCCGCGUGAAGGAUGACGGUUUUCGGAUUGUAAACUUCUGUUCUUAUUGAAGAAUAAUGACGGUAACUAAGGAGCAAGCCACGGCUAACUACGUGCCAGCCGCCGCGGUACUACGUAGGUGGCAAGCGUUGUCCGGAAUUACUGGGUGUAAAGGGAGCGUAGGAGGGAAGUGAAGUCAGCUGUGAAAACUACGGGCUUAACCUGUAGACUGCAGUUGAAACUGGCUGUCUUGAGUGAAGUAGAGGUUGGCGGAAUUCGGAGUGUAGCGGUGAAAUGCGUAGAUAUUCGGAGGAACACCGGUGGCGAAGGCGGCCAACUGGGCUUUAACUGACGCUGAGGCACGAAAGCGUGGGUAUCGAACAGGAUUAGAUACCCCUGUAGUC